UGUCAUAUAGUUUGCUUUCUGUUCUUCAUAUAAAUCCAUAAAACUCAUAAAAGGUUCAUCUUUUGUUUCAGAUACAAAUCAGCCGGUCUAAUCGUCCAUCGCAGCCGCCUAGCCGAUCGUCCGUCCGUCCUAUCUGUCCAAACCGAUCAAAAACCAAACCUCAGUCAAGCCAUCCGUGUAGUCUGAAUCCCAGCCUGCAACAUUUGGUAUCAGAGCCCAAGCACCUGAAUCUGGUGAUAUCUAUCCUUGCAUCAUAUCUUAUUGCAUUUGUUCACCAUUUAAAAUCAAUUAAAAAAAAAAAAUAUUCAUAGUGUUUACAUUUUCUGUCCGAUUGUGAAUUGCUUGUUCUUGGUUUUAAAACCAGAGAUAGGCACGAAAAGGAUAGCUCAUUAUCUUGUUUGAUUCAUUUAGAAAACUCAAAAAAAAUUUCCCUUGUUUGCAUUAAGUUGUCUAGCUCGAGUUUCCUUUUUCGGUUUAUUUGCAUCAAGCAUAAAAUCUUUUUUUUUUAAUUAUUGUUUUGUUUCUUUUAAAUUGAAAACCAAAAUAAAUAUUUAUUUCCAUUGUUUUAUUUUAUAGAUUUCGAGAUUUGCUUGAUAAAGUUAAAAAAAAAAAAAUAGGAGUUAAUUUUCCAUUUGUUUCAAAACUUUCAAAAAAAAAAAAACUAAGUUUCCA
RNAcentral lists this long non-coding RNA (672 nucleotides) under Brassica rapa (field mustard). RNAcentral describes it as "long non-coding RNA (BRAP_LNC008252)". Lineage: Eukaryota; Viridiplantae; Streptophyta; Magnoliopsida; Brassicales; Brassicaceae. The record is from RNAcentral.